CACAGCUGACGCAGCGUCUCCGCACGUGGCCCGCUGGCCACGUUCAGUCGCUGAGUGCUUAUGAGCAGUGCUUCUCUGUGUGAACGGCAAGACUUCCUGUUGUCACACUACUGCCCAUGGUCUUCAGACUCGGGAGGAUGGGAGUUUGUUCCUGGCUUCUUGUUUAUUCCUCUACUGGAGGUUUGUUUGUCUGUCACACUGAGGGACUUUAGUACAAAUUAGGAACAAGGCAG
RNAcentral lists this long non-coding RNA (233 nucleotides) under Capra hircus (goat). Its description in RNAcentral is "lncRNA (ENSCHIG00000007294.1)". The record is from RNAcentral. Lineage: Eukaryota; Metazoa; Chordata; Mammalia; Artiodactyla; Bovidae.